GCCGGGAUAGUCUAGUGGUUAUGGCGUCUGCCUUACACGCAGAAGAGCGCGAGUUUAAUCCUCGCUCCUGGUA
RNAcentral lists this transfer RNA (73 nucleotides) under Perkinsus olseni. RNAcentral's name for it is "tRNA-Val". It matches the Rfam family "tRNA". Rfam says of the family: Transfer RNA (tRNA) molecules are approximately 80 nucleotides in length. Their secondary structure includes four short double-helical elements and three loops (D, anti-codon, and T loops). Lineage: Eukaryota; Perkinsozoa; Perkinsida; Perkinsidae. The record is from RNAcentral.